This 30-nucleotide ribosomal RNA is filed under the name Bradyrhizobium elkanii. Its description in RNAcentral is "partial 23S ribosomal RNA". The record is from RNAcentral. RNAcentral also lists the same sequence under 2 other names. Lineage: Bacteria; Pseudomonadati; Pseudomonadota; Alphaproteobacteria; Hyphomicrobiales; Nitrobacteraceae.
AAUCAAGUGCCUUAAGGGUGUUCGGUGGAU